AUGGAGAAAACUCCAUCAGUGUGGGUAUGGCACCCUCAGGAUCUAAGCUGUCUAAACUUGCAGGCUGGUUUCACUAGCUUAGGGCAUCCCAGAGCUAAUGUUUAUAAGCCAAGGGCCAAAUUAAAGCAAGAAAGAAUCAUAUCAAUGUCGAGGCUGAGAAAGUUCACGGGGGCAGGAAGGAGGCCCUGGAGAAGGAGGCAAGGAAAGCAAGAGGAAAGGGAUCCAUCUUCUUCUCCCUCCCACUACCAACCCCAACCUGGAGUCCCAGAAACACUAUGCAGAGCCCACCUAGUACCCCUCAAUGUAUGUUCAUCUUCUUUGAUAAUAGAACCUCAAACGUCAGCUGGCUACACGGCUUCAAACAACAAAAGACUACAUUUCCCAGCUUUCCCUGCAGCAAGGACACCUUCUAAGGAAAGGACCAGCACUAUCCUCAUGUUACAGCUGAAGGAACAGAGCCCCUGCAAACGUAACAAGUUUACCCAGUCUUCACAGAUGCAGUCACGAGGUCAGCCUCCCUUGCCUGACACUUUCUCAGUUGUAGCAGAAAAAGUCUCGUACUCCAGGAAAGCCACCAGUACCAGGCAAGCCAGGACAGCUGGUCAUCCUGUCAUACAUAGUUCCAGGCCAAGCCCGAACCAUUCCCAAGCCCCACAUCCCUUCUUUUCCAGCUGGUGAAGUGCCACCACUCUUCGGGCACCCUGGGACACCUCCCCAGGGCGUAAAUAUUACUCAAAGAUUCAGAUGGCAACGUAUGACCUCAGGUAAAUACAACUAUGUUAAGAGGUU
RNAcentral lists this long non-coding RNA (789 nucleotides) under Vulpes vulpes (red fox). RNAcentral describes it as "lncRNA (ENSVVUG00000014600.1)". Lineage: Eukaryota; Metazoa; Chordata; Mammalia; Carnivora; Canidae. The record is from RNAcentral.